GAUGAACGCUGGCGGCGUGCCUAAUACAUGCAAGUCGAGCGAACGGACGAGAAGCUUGCUUCUCUGAUGUUAGCGGCGGACGGGUGAGUAACACGUGGAUAACCUACCUAUAAGACUGGGAUAACUUCGGGAAACCGGAGCUAAUACCGGAUAAUAUUUUGAACCGCAUGGUUCAAAAGUGAAAGACGGUCUUGCUGUCACUUAUAGAUGGAUCCGCGCUGCAUUAGCUAGUUGGUAAGGUAACGGCUUACCAAGGCAACGAUGCGUAGCCGACCUGAGAGGGUGAUCGGCCACACUGGAACUGAGACACGGUCCAGACUCCUACGGGAGGCAGCAGUAGGGAAUCUUCCGCAAUGGGCGAAAGCCUGACGGAGCAACGCCGCGUGAGUGAUGAAGGUCUUCGGAUCGUAAAACUCUGUUAUUAGGGAAGAACAUAUGUGUAAGUAACUGUGCACAUCCUGACGGUACCUAAUCAGAAAGCCACGGCUAACUACGUG
This 497-nucleotide ribosomal RNA is filed under the name uncultured bacterium. RNAcentral's name for it is "partial 16S ribosomal RNA". It matches the Rfam family "Bacterial small subunit ribosomal RNA", at positions 28 to 507 of the family's 1533-position model. The record is from RNAcentral.